RNAcentral lists this ribosomal RNA (253 nucleotides) under uncultured bacterium. RNAcentral describes it as "partial 16S ribosomal RNA". It matches the Rfam family "Bacterial small subunit ribosomal RNA", at positions 524 to 776 of the family's 1533-position model. The record is from RNAcentral.
UACGUAGGGUGCAAGCGUUAAUCGGAAUUGCUGGGCGUAAAGCGUGCGCAGGCGGUUAUAUAAGACAGAUGUGAAAUCCCCGGGCUCAACCUGGGAACUGCAUUUGUGACUGCAAGGCUAGAGUACGGCAGAGGGGGAUGGAAUUCCGCGUGUAGCAGUGAAAUGCGUAGAUAUGCGGAGGAACACCAAUGGCGAAGGCAAUCCCCUGGGCCUGUACUGACGCUCAUGCACGAAAGCGUGGGGAGCAAACAGG